RNAcentral lists this ribosomal RNA (440 nucleotides) under uncultured bacterium. Its description in RNAcentral is "partial 16S ribosomal RNA". It matches the Rfam family "Bacterial small subunit ribosomal RNA", at positions 338 to 795 of the family's 1533-position model. The record is from RNAcentral.
CCUACGGGAGGCAGCAGUGGGGGAUAUUGCACAAUGGGGGAAACCCUGAUGCAGCGACGCCGCGUGGGUGAAGAAGCGCCUCGGCGCGUAAAGCCCUGUCAGCAGGGAAGAAAAUGACGGUACCUGAAGAAGAAGCCCCGGCUAACUACGUGCCAGCAGCCGCGGUAAUACGUCGGGGGCAAGCGUUAUCCGGAUGUACUGGGGUUAAAGGGGGCGCAGACGGCGAUGCAAGCCAGGAGUGAAAGCCCGGGGCCCAACCCCGGGACUGAUCUUGGAACUGCGUGGCUAGAGUGCAGGAGGGGCAGGCGGAAUUCCUGGUGUAGCGGUGAAAUGCGUAGAUAUCAGGAGGAACACCGGUGGCGAAGGCGGCCUGCUGGACUGCAACUGACGUUGAGGCCCGAAAGCGUGGGGAGCAAACAGGAUUAGAUACCCCUGUAGUC